GCGUUCGUAGCUCACCUGGAUAGAGUAACGGACUUCGAAUCCGUAGGUAGCAGGUUCGAGUCCUGCCGGACGCA
This 74-nucleotide transfer RNA is filed under the name Treponema sp. Its description in RNAcentral is "tRNA-Arg". It matches the Rfam family "tRNA". Rfam says of the family: Transfer RNA (tRNA) molecules are approximately 80 nucleotides in length. Their secondary structure includes four short double-helical elements and three loops (D, anti-codon, and T loops). The record is from RNAcentral. Lineage: Bacteria; Pseudomonadati; Spirochaetota; Spirochaetia; Treponematales; Treponemataceae.